RNAcentral lists this ribosomal RNA (916 nucleotides) under Anticoma sp. M1. RNAcentral describes it as "SSU rRNA". It matches the Rfam family "Eukaryotic small subunit ribosomal RNA", at positions 76 to 995 of the family's 1831-position model. The record is from RNAcentral. Lineage: Eukaryota; Metazoa; Nematoda; Enoplea; Enoplida; Anticomidae.
GAAUGGUAAAGCUGCGAAUGGCUCAUUACUGCAGACAGGUUUAUUUGAUCUUAAUCCAUUACUUGGAUACCUGUUCUAAUUGAAGAGCUAAUACAUGCAACUAAGUCCCAACCGCAAGGGCGGGAUGCACUUAUUAGACCAAAACCAAUCGGGCUUGCCCGAGGUUUGGUGACUCUGAAUAAUUUCGCUGACCGCACGGUCUCGCACCGGCGGCGCAUCUUUCAAAUGUCUGCCUUAUCAACUUUCGAUGGUAGUUUAUGCGCCUACCAUGGUUGUAACGGGUAACGGAGAAUAAGGGUUCGUACUCCGGAGAGGGAGCCUGAGAAACGGCUACCACAUCCUAGGAAGGCAGCAGGCACGCAAAUUACCCACUCCCGGUACGGGGAGGUAGUGACGAAAAAUAACGAGACGGUCUCUUUGAGAUUUUGUCAUCGGAAUGGGUACAAUCUAAUCCUUUAUACGAGGAUCUAUUGGAGGGCAAGUCUGGUGCCAGCAGCCGCGGUAAUUCCAGCUCCAAAAGCGUAUAUUAAAGUUGUUGCGGUUAAAAAGCUCGUAGUUGGAUCUGCGUCUUAGGCUAGCGGUCCCCCCAGCGGGUGGUUACUGCUAUGCCUGGACUAAUCUCUCUGGUUUUCCCUUGGUGCUCUUUACUGAGUGUCUUGGGUGGUUGGAACAUUUACUUUGAAAAAAUUAGAAUGGUUAAAGCAAGCAGUUAGCUUGAAUAGUGGUGCAUGGAAUAAUGGAAUAGGACUUCGGUUCUAUUUUGUUGGUUUUCGGAACUCGAGGUAAUGAUUAAGAGGGACAGACGGGGGCAUUCGUAUUGCGACGUUAGAGGUGAAAUUCUUGGAUCGUCGCAAGACGGACUACUGCGAAAGCAUUUGCCAAGAAUGUUUUCAUUAAUCAAGAACGAAAGUUAGAG